This 1702-nucleotide small RNA is filed under the name Cryptococcus neoformans H99. RNAcentral's name for it is "Cryptococcus neoformans var. grubii H99 hypothetical RNA". The record is from RNAcentral. Lineage: Eukaryota; Fungi; Basidiomycota; Tremellomycetes; Tremellales; Cryptococcaceae.
UUUUACUUCAUUCUUCAGUUUCAUCGUGUUCCCAUCCUUCAUUUCUCUUCCUCGUGCCCGUCGGGCAUUUACCUCGAUUUGUCAAUCCAAAAAUGACUAGAUGCUCCAGGAUCAUAACUUAUUCUAUCAGUCAGAUCGAGCAACACGAAAUCAAAACAGUUAAAAAUUUCGCUAUUCAGGUCCCUGUUUCAAAAUUGGACAUCAACACUAUGUACCGAAGAUGACGCAUCUACAGCCCAACCGUACCAUGCAAGCUAAUGGGUGUGACGACAAAUCACCAUGACUGGUGGAAUCAAAUUGCAGACGAGUCUCCAGAAGAGCGCGGAGCUCAGUUUAUUUGUUUUUCCCGCAACAAGGACACGGAGAAGGUGAUGCGGGUGACAGUAGAGUGACGCGAUUACUCCAAUUCACUUUGCUUUUUUGCUUACCUUCUCGGGAAAUCUCGUGCCCUCAAUCUCGCUAUGCCGUUCAAAUUAGUUGAUAAUGACUUAUGGACGACCACUUGGGAACAUCACUCCAAUCCUCCCAAGAGUCCCAUGGGCUUUGGCUUCGCUACACAAUACGACAGUCAUCAGCUAUUGACGCGUAGCUAGUGACAAGGCCGCGCUUGACGCAUGUACCGCUCAAGCUUUCCUCGUCCAAUUCCGAAAUACUUUCCUCGUCUGCUUUCGAACGUUUCCCUCGCGCGACGUUUGUAUAGCACACUGAGACAGAAAGUGGAUAAUAUCUCGCUUGAAGUUCGGCGAUCGUCCUUUGGGUGGGAAGAUGUGUACGAUGUCCCGGCGGAAAAUGGUUGGACAGUAUUUCAGACUAAUGUUAUGUAUGAACACGGAUUUCCGCGGUGCCGCGUUGAAGAGCAUUGCAACGACCGAGACAUUUUCGACAAGAUGGACGACGUCCAAGGUGGAAUAAUUCCUUUAGAAUGAGCAGGGAACCGAUAGCAUAAUGAGAACGAACUUGGUACCCCUGGCACUGGCCCGGUAAAGAACUGUCAAAGGACUGAAUCCCAGCGGGACAGAGAUGAGGCAAUCUUGUCCAAUGCCAUCGACUUACACUGCCCAAACAAAGCAUAUGGCUAACUUGGGCUGUGUCGGAGUGUUUAGGAUACGUAUACCAGCCCGCGACGGCUUCCCGAGCCUCCUUUGUUCUCAAGAGUACGUCCGCAUCAGAUAUAGCAAGUGAAUGCACUCGAGAGAGAGCGACCAUUUUUCGCUCGAUGGCGCUCUUGAGAAAGCGAACUGGGCCUUUCUUUGGGCAAAGAGCCAUGUCAGCUUCUUGGUGUUUCACUAUGCCCCUGUCGGCUGGACGGAGGAAACAGCGGAUUUUACGUCGUCUAGUGCCGACCUUUCGCUCAGGACCCGAGGGAGUGCUACAGUACUCUUUGAGGGCUCCAUCAUAUAGGCGACUGUCUACGGUGAUCCGUCAAUCAAGUCAUGAUAGAAUGCGGACGCGUUUGAACUGUUGAGUACUACUUCCUUGUACAGAGAAGGAAGGAACUCUCUGUAUAGAGAUUUGCGUGUUUGGAUAAGAACAAAGAGAGUGGAUUUUCGAGACAGAGUCUUUGAUGUGCCAAUGUACGACAGCUUUGAGUUUGCUUCCAAGUUUGUCACUAUAUACGAUUGAAGAAUUACAUCGAUUAGCGUAUGGGAUGAUGCUCUCCGUCUUUCUAGCCAACGGAAGCUAACGACGAAUUCUUAUUCGC